RNAcentral lists this ribosomal RNA (252 nucleotides) under uncultured bacterium. RNAcentral's name for it is "partial 16S ribosomal RNA". It matches the Rfam family "Bacterial small subunit ribosomal RNA", at positions 524 to 776 of the family's 1533-position model. The record is from RNAcentral.
UACGGAGGAUGCGAGCGUUAUCCGGAUUUAUUGGGUUUAAAGGGUGCGUAGGCGGACUGUCAAGUCAGCGGUAAAAUUGAGAGGCUCAACCUCUUCCCGCCGUUGAAACUGGUGGUCUUGAGUGGAUGAGAAGUACGCGGAAUGCGUGGUGUAGCGGUGAAAUGCAUAGAUAUCACGCAGAACUCCGAUUGCGAAGGCAGCGUACCGGCAUCCAACUGACGCUGAGGCACGAAAGCGUGGGUAGCAAACAGG